ACAGCGCUCCGCGCCGCGCCGCCGCCGCCGCCACCGCCACCGCGCAGGCCCCGCGCCCGCCGCCAGCGCCCGCCGCCAGGCGCCCUUUGCCCCGGGGCCCCGCGCUCCGCACCGCCCCUGCGCAGAGCCGCGGCGCGGCCGGGCUUAUCUGCUGCCUUCGGAAAUCACCCGACCCCUCGCACCCCUCCCUGCACCCCUUUUCCCCCCGGUGAAAUUUUAUCAGCUUCUGGCUCAGCAGAGAAGCAUUUCAGGCCCCGUAUUUAUUUAAAUAUAUUUAAGGCAGCAAAAGCAUAAUGGCCGAAAUCCAAGAAUGCAGGGAGUUUAUCGCUUAAGCAGUGUGAUUAACGGCGGGCACUUAAAAACGCUUACAUAUCUAUUAUAUUCAAGAAUAUACUUGCUCAGAUAAACCCGCCAACAACAUGUCACAACAUCAUUUAACAAACACGCUUUUCAGUUGCUCGUGGUCGUUAGGCGCUGCUCCAGCCAGAAGCUCGAAGGACUCAUCUUCGCCACCCUGGGACUCCUUCCUGGGGCUCCCAGUAAGCUGGCACUUACAGGAUUAAAAGGAAGGACAGCAGCGAGAGCACGGUGCGGCCGGUAACACAGGCCAACGCACAGGAGAGCAAACCUCGCACAAGCAGCUUUCCUCAGCAUCUCCCAAAGUCACCCAGCGCAAGCGGCCUCCCCGCUCUCUCUCCCGGCUGGCAGUCACCAGCUACUCAGAUUGGACCUGCCUAGUUUGCCCUUUACUUGUAGUUUCUAAUAAGGGCGAAUGUAUUUUCACAAAGCUUAAUUUCUUACAGAAUCCCACCACAAGCUCUCAGCUAACCGGAGGCACCACCUCCGAUCUAGCAAGGAUGGUAACUGGGGGCAGCAAGCCACGUUUGCUGGAUUCACCAGAAAACGUCCCCAGGGCACCUGCGGUGGCAAACCGGCAGCAGCCUCGGAGCACAAGAUCGUACCGCAGAGGCUGGCUGCAGCGACGGAUCGCUCUGCGCCGCUCCCGCAGCAAGCGCACCGGCGCUCCCGGGCCGCUGGCCCCAGCGCUGAACGGCCUUCCCGCAAGAGGCAGCCCCACGCACGGCACGGUUUCAGGCAGCUGCAGGGGAGAGAUUUGGGGUCUUAUUUUGCAAAAAAUGUUUGUGGUAGUUAUGCUUUUAUCCACAUACGCACUUCUGGAAAUCAAAUGGACUGUAGUAAGCACUAACGCCAUGCAGACAUGUUUAUCAUCAAUUAAAAAAGGAUCGAAGGGAACUUCAUGGCAGUGACAGCAUUACCGGACUGCCUGAAAGAGCUGGGGAAUCCAGGAGGACUGCAGAGUUUUGGGUGGCUUUUUUUUCCUGGGAAAUACAAAGAACUGAGGAAAUAAAACACUGUCUCCACUUUAACUGUCUCCUUACCUAGUGUGGGAAUGCUUUCUAUAAAUGCUAGGCAUAUUAUACUGAAAUGGCUUUCUCACUGCUUAGAAACACAGCCAGCAUUAGAAUAUAUGUAUCUUUGCUGCUGUGACAUAGCAAUUUUACUGAAAACGAUAUUAUGGCAGCAACAUGUGAUUGACAAAUCUUGUCAUCCACCAUCAUGUAGUUAAAACCUUAAUGUCUUCAGGCUGUCAGCAUUCCUUCCUUCUGAAUUUUACAAUGCUUUUGCCUGUCAAUAUUUGGUAAUGGUAGAAUUGUAGCUCCAUUAUUUUUGUUGCCAUGGUGAGUGCACAAAACAAAAAAACAAACCUUUUUCUUAAUGAUAUUUCUGCACGUUACACCUCUAACAAUCUGGCAGCUGGCCUUCAACUACUUAGGACUUCGAAAUUCAAGGGUAACCAGUGCUCUUGAGGAAGAAAACUAUCACAAGAUGAAAACAUGUUUUUAUUUACUGAUUUCUCUUAGUAGGAGUGCAUUACAAGGCAUCAGGCAAGAACAGUGAGCAGUUAAUCUCCGAAGCGGUUCUGACUUCAUUUCUCCCUAUUGUAACAAAAAAACUUUAUGCAAAAAAAUGUGAGCCUGCACAUCUGGACGUCAUCCAAGAAUAUUUUCUUAUUUUAUAAGGCAGCGAAAUCCCUUGAAUACAUGCUCAAUUUUAAUAGACACAGAACUCUAAGAGAAAUUGAACUGUGGAAAUACUGGAAGCAAACCUCUUCUGCUUAAGUCUCCAGACAUGCUCACUAUCCAUGAAAAGCUACUGUGUGGUGAGCAGAGUCCCAGCAGCAAUUAGCUUCAUUAGGCUGCCACUGUGGUCAGUGCUUUAGAAAGGUAGCGAGAUUUUGGCAGGAAAGCUGAACAGGAAGUUAAAUUCUUUGUUUUUCUGUUUUUCCCUCUGGAGAAAAUCACAUUCUAGAAUAGUUUUUUCCACAUACCUAUUCAGAUGUUAUUCACACAUCUUGCCUGCUGAAAAACAGAGUAAUAGAUAAAGUCCCUGACACACACUAAAAGAACAUUUCACAGAGCAACAGGCACCAACAGUUUAUUUUCCAGUUCUCAGGUUUUUACUAGUGUUCUUAAAAAGCACUUUGAGCCUUUCUCUUCCUGUUUUCAUAAUUCAGUUAUAUAGCAGCUAUAAAGAAGAGUAUCAUUCCGCAAUCUGUUUGUAUAUCAGUUAAUUAAAUUUCCGUAGAAUGCCAGUGCAUUAUUCACCCAGCAUGUACUGUAUCAGUAUCUAUGCUAAAACAUGAUUCUAGUGUUACGAAACUUUCAAUUCACGUACAGAAUGACAAACCUACGUGUUAUUUCAGAAGUUAAUUAUUUCUAUUUCUUGUUGGAUCAUGCUUCUAUAGAUCAGCUUUAGAUCAAGGGCGUUGUUAGACAAAUGACUUCUGUAUUGUGCCAGUAAGAUUGGAUGCACAUGGACAUAGAAAAAUACAGCUUGAACUUUUUAUGUCAUUUGCUUCUAGAGGUGUAUCUACAAAGAGGCAGACUGACCUAGGUUUCAAAUAGACCAGGCAAAAGUCAUGUCCUCUUUGGAAGCUGUAUGGCCAUAUGUAUUCCUGUGGUGUUGUCUUGUGUUCAACCUCAUCUUGAUUAUUAGGAAAUAAAAGCACCAGCUGUCUGCAGACAUCCUAGUCACAGGGUUUUAGAUUUAUCUUAAAUAAGGCCAGGGUGUAGUAGUCACUGAAUAAACCAAAGGAUCUACAGGACUUUUGAAAUCAGUUUCACCCACAUAAGCAGUCCACAGAGAAACACCAAGAAUGGAUUGGUGCAACAGCCUCCAUCUGGACAAGAACAGGAAACAGAGAAUUACUCUCAUUACGGCAACUUGAGAGAAAAGCAAUAUGAAAAAACACCCAAUGCACGAUCACUGGGUAUCUUAAGUGAAUGAUGAUAAGUAAUGACUUAAAUUUUAAAAGAAGUAUAUUGCACAAAUAAAUAUAACAGAAAGAUACUUCAUUCACUAAGAUACGUUUAAAGUCUGCAGCAUCAAUUCGGCAAGUCCCAUUUCCUGAAACACAUGUGCUUAUCUGCCUUCAGUGGGAAUGUGAAGGACUUCCUGCAACAAAAUCUUCAUCGGAAUAAAUAAUUAAGUCAUUAUCAUGAUUUCUUCCUAGAACCAAGUUGUAGUCUCUGUCUCUCUUUUUGGUGAUAUUGGCUUAGUCCCUGAGCCAGAACAUAAACGUUCAAAAAGACAUGGUAUAGCUUUUGCCUGAAUAUUUCAUUGGUAGGAUAAAGCUUGUCAAAGUUAGCAGGAGUGUAGAUAGUUUUCUUUUCUCCAUCUAAAAGAAAUAAAUGCCAGCACUGCCUGCUUUUAGCAAUGUGUUUAAAUAUAUCUGCCAUAAAGCAUUUCUUCCCCACAUCCAUUUUGCUCACAUCCACCUUCAUUUUUGUCACUGCUUGUAUUGCCAAACAGAAACUUAAAAUUGUAGUAACCAUUCAAACUAAUUAUGCAUGGAGUAAAACUCAGUUGCUAUGUGAACACAUCAUUUAUUGUUAAAUUAAAAAGAGGCAUAAUUUUAA
This is a long non-coding RNA of Dromaius novaehollandiae (emu), 3941 nucleotides long. RefSeq lists it as uncharacterized. The record is from RefSeq and is a predicted model, not a curated record. Lineage: Eukaryota; Metazoa; Chordata; Aves; Casuariiformes; Dromaiidae. The transcript has 2 exons.